AGAGCGAACGCUGGCGGCAUGCUUAACACAUGCAAGUCGCACGGCUGGGGAAACCCAGCAGUGGCGGACGGGUGAGUAACGCGUAGGUAUCUAUCUCUGGGUGGGGGACAACUGUGGGAAACUACAGCUAAUACCGCAUGAAGCCUGAGGGCCAAAGCAGCAAUGCGCCUGGAGAGGAGCCUGCGUACGAUUAGCUUGUUGGUGGGGUAAUGGCCCACCAAGGCGACGAUCGUUAGCUGGUCUGAGAGGAUGAUCAGCCACACUGGGACUGAGACACGGCCAGACUCCUACGGGAGGCAGCAGUGGGGAAUAUUGGACAAUGGGCGCAAGCCUGAUCCAGCAAUGCCGCGUGAGUGAAGAAGGUCUUCGGAUUGUAAAAGCUCUUUCGACGGGGACGAUGAUGACGGUACCGUAGAAGAAGCCCGGCUAACUCGUAGCCAGCAGCCGC
RNAcentral lists this ribosomal RNA (448 nucleotides) under uncultured bacterium. RNAcentral's name for it is "SSU rRNA". It matches the Rfam family "Bacterial small subunit ribosomal RNA", at positions 26 to 518 of the family's 1533-position model. The record is from RNAcentral.